This 465-nucleotide ribosomal RNA is filed under the name uncultured bacterium. Its description in RNAcentral is "partial 16S ribosomal RNA". It matches the Rfam family "Bacterial small subunit ribosomal RNA", at positions 28 to 507 of the family's 1533-position model. The record is from RNAcentral.
GACGAACGCUGGCGGCGUGCUUAACACAUGCAAGUCGAACGGAAAGGCCCUGCUUGCAGGGUACUCGAGUGGCGAACGGGUGAGUAACACGUGGGUGAUCUGCCCUGCACUUCGGGAUAAGCCUGGGAAACUGGGUCUAAUACCGGAUAGGAGCCAUUUUUAGUGUGAUGGUUGGAAAGUUUUUUCGGUGUAGGAUGAGCUCGCGGCCUAUCAGCUUGUUGGUGGGGUAAUGGCCUACCAAGGCGGCGACGGGUAGCCGGCCUGAGAGGGUGGACGGCCACAUUGGGACUGAGAUACGGCCCAGACUCCUACGGGAGGCAGCAGUGGGGAAUAUUGCACAAUGGGCGCAAGCCUGAUGCAGCGACGCCGCGUGAGGGAUGACGGCCUUCGGGUUGUAAACUCCUUUCGCUAGGGACGAAGCUUUUUGUGACGGUACCUAGAUAAGAAGCACCGGCUAACUACGUG